AUUCAAACCUGACUCCAUUAGGUGCUGCUCACUGCCUUGGAGGCUGCUGCUCCUGUGUGUCAGAUCCACAGAGAUAUCCGAGUUCAGAAAUGAGUGGAAAAAUACCCAUGGUGGGCAGGAAGAGAAAUCCCCUUGCUAUAUUCCCAUUGUGAGCAGUGCCACCCUGUGGGAUAGAAGCACACCCAGUGCAAAGCACAUCCCUUGUUAUGAAAGAACUUCAGUACCCUGCUCCAGAUUCAUUAAUCACAUGAAGAAUUUCUCUGAAUCUCCUAAAUUUUGUAGUCUACACUUUCUGAAUUUUCCAGGAAGUCAUCAUGGACAGGCCACACAGAAAUUACAGGGAGCUAUGGUUCUUCACCUUGAAGAAUGUCACCACUCCUAGAAGCCCUUUCCUGCACUUCCUGGCUCCUCAGAUUUUGUUUAAAUAUAAGAACUGGAAAACCAAAGCUUUGUCAUCCCUAAAACACCUUCACUGAGAAACUAAGUGUCCUUCUCAUCCCAUGGGGCUGUUCUGGGUAUCAAGUAAGAUACUGAUAUGAAGUGUUUU
Molecule: small RNA, 547 nt
Filed under: Pan troglodytes (chimpanzee)
Lineage: Eukaryota; Metazoa; Chordata; Mammalia; Primates; Hominidae
Description: processed transcript
Source: RNAcentral